RNAcentral lists this ribosomal RNA (335 nucleotides) under Salmonella enterica subsp. enterica serovar Infantis. RNAcentral describes it as "partial 23S ribosomal RNA". It matches the Rfam family "Bacterial large subunit ribosomal RNA", at positions 2608 to 2925 of the family's 2925-position model. The record is from RNAcentral. Lineage: Bacteria; Pseudomonadati; Pseudomonadota; Gammaproteobacteria; Enterobacterales; Enterobacteriaceae.
GGUUUAGAACGUCGUGAGACAGUUCGGUCCCUAUCUGCCGUGGGCGCUGGAGAACUGAGGGGGGCUGCUCCUAGUACGAGAGGACCGGAGUGGACGCAUCACUGGUGUUCGGGUUGUCAUGCCAAUGGCACUGCCCGGUAGCUAAAUGCGGAAGAGAUAAGUGCUGAAAGCAUCUAAGCACGAAACUUGCCCCGAGAUGAGUUCUCCCUGAGACUUUAAGUCUCCUGAAGGAACGUUGAAGACGACGACGUUGAUAGGCCGGGUGUGUAAGCGCAGCGAUGCGUUGAGCUAACCGGUACUAAUGAACCGUGAGGCUUAACCUUACAACGCCGAAG